This 88-nucleotide transfer RNA is filed under the name Symphyocladiella dendroidea. RNAcentral describes it as "tRNA-Tyr". It matches the Rfam family "tRNA". Rfam says of the family: Transfer RNA (tRNA) molecules are approximately 80 nucleotides in length. Their secondary structure includes four short double-helical elements and three loops (D, anti-codon, and T loops). Further hydrogen bonds mediate the characteristic L-shaped molecular structure. tRNAs have two regions of fundamental functional importance: the anti-codon, which is responsible for specific mRNA codon recognition, and the 3' end, to which the tRNAs corresponding amino acid is attached (by aminoacyl-tRNA synthetases). tRNAs cope with the degeneracy of the genetic code in two manners: having more than one tRNA (with a specific anti-codon) for a particular amino acid; and 'wobble' base-pairing, i.e. permitting non-standard base-pairing at the 3rd anti-codon position. The record is from RNAcentral. Lineage: Eukaryota; Rhodophyta; Florideophyceae; Ceramiales; Rhodomelaceae.
AGAGGAGAUGGCUGAGAGGUUUAAAGCGGUAGAUUGUAAAUCUAUUUUUAAAGAUAAAGUCAUAGGUUCGAAUCCUAUUCUUCUCUUC